UACGGAGGGGGCCAGCAUUGUUCGGAAUCAUUGGGCGUAAAGGGCGCGUAGGCGGCCACGCAAGUCGGAUGUGAAAUCCCUCGGCUCAACCGAGGAACUGCAUCCGAAACUGCGAGGCUCGAGUCCUGGAGAGGGUAGUGGAAUUCCCAGUGUAGCGGUGAAAUGCGUAGAUACUGGGAGGAACACCGGUGGCGAAGGCGGCUACCUGGACAGGUACUGACGCUGAGGCGCGAAAGCCAGGGGAGCAAACAGG
RNAcentral lists this ribosomal RNA (253 nucleotides) under uncultured bacterium. RNAcentral describes it as "partial 16S ribosomal RNA". It matches the Rfam family "Bacterial small subunit ribosomal RNA", at positions 524 to 776 of the family's 1533-position model. The record is from RNAcentral.